Molecule: long non-coding RNA, 4652 nt
Organism: Hypanus sabinus (Atlantic stingray)
Lineage: Eukaryota; Metazoa; Chordata; Chondrichthyes; Myliobatiformes; Dasyatidae
Exons: 3
Source: RefSeq, a predicted model, not a curated record
GUCAGUUACUCUGUUAUGCUGCGUAUUUGUCUCAUGAUGCAGUUUUUGUUUUAAAGUGGAGUUUUACUUUCUACUGUAAGCUAUACCAACAGUUUUUAAAAUCACUGCCAGUUAUGUUUGAUGUAUCUUUGAUUUAAUUUUAAAAUCUAAGUAUUAGAGAGUGAAGAUUUGCCGAAGUAUGGAGAACCCGAAGGAUCAAGUAAAGUUGGUGUCGUCGGCGGUAAUACAGGAUCGACCUUACUGAAUCCUCGUUCAGAAGAAGGUCAUCGGCAUCUGAGAUAACCCCUGCUUUGUGAGAGCAGAAAGAGUUUGCAGUGUUCAUUCACGAAGCAAAAGGCUCUGCGUUACACCACCCUUGACAAGCUGGACCAAAACACAAGUGAUCCUGAAGAUCUGGAAAUCAAGAAAACACACACAAAAUGCUAGCAAAACUCAGCAGGUCAGGCAGCAUCUAUGGAAAUUAAUCAACUCUGGAAGACCCUUCAUUUCCAUAGUUGCUGCCUGAUUUGCUGGGUUCUGCCAGCAUUUUGUUUAUAUUGCUCCGGAGUGAAUCAAAAAAUGGCAAGAGAAGCUUGUGUGGUCCUGAGAUCCUGAGAGAGAUGCCGUCUGGAGCUAUGCUCCUGGAAGGGUCGAGGGUGAGGUCCCUGAAAAAGAACAAUACAACCGAGACCUCAACGGUGGACCAGGCGGACUCGGUUACUUCGAAUUCAAUGGCUGUGAAGGCGGAUGAAGGCUGCAACAAAUCCAUCAGCUCCAGUCGUCGUGGUUUCCAUGCCACUGGAAUCAGUUGUUUGAUUUGUGAAGUAUCGUGUGCUUCUUUGGAGUGCAACAUCAAGUACACGUUAAACAAAUACACGCACAGGCGUCUUCGCUCUGUGGGCCAUGACUUUCCAAGUUGAGAGCCUAUAAAUAGAUCAAGGGAAUGAAGAUCAUCAUCCUCGACCUCAAGGGAUAGCCACGCUGACCUGUCCUAGUUGCCCUUCAGAUGCUAUAAUUAAGUCACCUCCUCUGCCAGUCACUCCAGAUACCAACUACUCUUUGUGUGAAAAGUGUACUACUCAGAUCAUCUUUAAAAUUCCUUUCAGCUUAAACCUAUGCUUCUAGUUUUAGGCACCUCACCAUGUGAAUAAGACAUUGACUAUCUCAGUUUCUCCUAAUUUUAUAUUCUUACAUUGCAUUACUUCUCAGUCUCCUCUUUUCCUGGGGAAACACACCCAGCCUAUCUCAUCUCUCCUUAAUACUCAAGAUCUCCAAUCCAGGCAACAUCCUUGCUAAUCUUCUCCGUACCCUCUCUGGCAUAAUUUACAUCUGCAGUGGCCAGAGCUGGAUGCACUAAGCAUGGUCUAACCAAUGAAUUGUGCAAUUGAAACAUAAUAUACUAACUCCUGUACUCAGUAAUUUGGAUAAGAAAGAUGAAGGUGCAAUAUGUUUCAUCACCCUGUCUUCCUGUGUUGUCACAUUCAACAAUAGUGUACUGUUGUUGUAUCCCUGAAUCUCACCAAUCCUUAGGGUUUUGCCAUUCGCUGAACAAUUCUUGUUCUAAUUUAACUUCUCCAAUAAAUCACUUUGCCCAUGUCGGAGUUAAAUUCCAUCUGGCAUUGCUUUGCACACAUUCAUUUCCAGUUGAUCAAUAUUCUGUUGUAGACUUAGAUAGCCUUCAUCACUUUCCAGUGUACCAACAAAUUAAUGGCAUCUGCAAACUUACUAAAUAUGCCAUCUAUACUUUCAGUAAAUCAUUAAUAUACAUGACAAAUGACAGUGGACCCAGUACUGAUCUCCUGUGGGACACAGGCCUACAAUCUGAAGAAUUGGAUCGAGAAUAGACAAUAAUUAGAUGGACCAGAUGUGUUCUGAUAUUUUCCGAACAGGGCAUACCUCAGCAACUUUCCCCAUUGUCAGACUGAUACCAAUUUGUAAUUGCAAGUAUACUGAAAUAUUUUGUCUAGAGGCACCACUGUAUCUAGAGACUGCUCUCUAGGCAUUCCUUGUGAGAGAAAAUCAAAUUGGCUGCAGAUUUCUGAUACUGAUACUGGAAGAGCUGAGGUGGAUGCUCUAUAUGGCACUCCUGGCUGAACCUGAUUAUGAGUGCUUUAAUUUGGCCUUUAGCACUCAUACCUGACUGUACUGUCAUUGGGGGUGACAACAUUCUUGAAGCCAUCUCCUCCCAUUAGUUGCUUUGUUGUUCACCACUAUUUAAGACUGGAUAUGAUGGGAUUGCAGAGUUUUGUUUUGACCCAUUUGUUGGAUGUUGCUUCCUGCUUUCAUUGGUUAACACACAAAUGGCCUUGUCUUACAGCUUUACCUCUGCCUGGUGUUACUUCCAUUCAUCACUAGACUCUGGCUUGAAGAUGAGGCAUGGAAUUCCAAACCGCACCACUCCAUCAGUUAUACUCUGUGCCCUUGAAACUUGCAGAACUUCCAAGUGUUGUCUGUCACGGAAGGCCACUAGAUAUGAGUAGACAGUGAGUCACAACUUGUGCAGUCAGGAAUUGACAGCUACAAGAUAGAGUUCAGACACAGUUUUCCCUUCUGAUGGGAAGCAUAGAUCACAGGGAAGCUGAAUAUCUACCAAUGCUUGAACCAUGACAAAUACGACAAUGUUAUAAAAUCUCUGCCUGCAUCCAACCUUGUUCUUUGCAAAAGGAAGAGAGCAGGGUGGCCCUUCUUUGUAUUGGGAUAGUGCAUCACUGUCUUGUGAUAAGCAGAAAUGUUUGAGGUAUGGCACAGAACAGAUGACAGCACCUUAAAUAGGGAAUUGAGGGUGACAGUGACUUGAUUUGGAUAGGAAAAUGGUUCUGAAGUGGUGUCGGGCUUAAUUGCAUCUGCAAAGAAUAAGAAACAAAAAAAAAUGAAAAGAAGUCAGCUAGUCUCUCUGACAUUUUCCACCAUUCAAAAGCAUCAUGGCUAAUACAAUCUUUGUCUCAACAUCAUUCUCCUGGCCACUCUAUAUCUUGACUUCCUUUUAGUUCAAAUAACUAACCUUCCCCAUAAAUAUAUUCAAUUAUUCUACUUUGCAAUUCCCUGAUAUUCAGAAAUUCAAAGAUUCCCAGCCUCCAGAUAAGAAAUUCCUUCUCAUUUCUACCUUGAAUAGAAAUUUCUUAUUCUAAAACCUUUGUCCUUCAUUCUAGAUACUCCAUCUAGUUAAGUACCUCCUGAGCAUUCCUGCCGUUCCUCCCAGAAUGCUUCAUAUUUCAGUAAAAUCACUUCUGAUUCUUCGAAGCACCGUGCAUUAUAGAUCUGGUUGUUAAUUUUUUCUGCACUCAUUUUUUUCCAAAGAGGGAAUUUAUAUUCCAAUCUCUGUACCCAUAGAUAGUGAAUUGUCACAUUGCUCCUUGAAGAGGUUAUUUUAUGAGGUAUGUUCAUUUAGAAUCUCUUGUAGGAAGGAGGUGGGGUUGAUUGUGGAUCGCCUUCCUCAAAAUCUGGGAAUGUCUUUUAUACCUCUAAUGCAUAGCCUGCCACUUGCUCAGAUAGCAAGCAAGAAGCACCCAUACAAAAUAUAAAUGUUCAAGAAAUGAAAAGACUGUGGGCAUUACCCAAUGUCUCUCUACACAAUAGAAGCAGUGUUCAGGAUCAAAGUCUUUCUUCAGAAUGUCAUGCAGUACAAUGUCCAAAAACUGGGAGCUGCCCUUUAAGUUACAAGCUGCACACCAAAUAGUGCCUCAGUUCAGUUACGAUUGACCAGCACAGAUGUGUUUUGGAACAUUUAUUACAGAGUAAAAGGAGGUCUAUAUCAACUUAUCAGAACCAAGUAUGUGAAGGAAUUUCCACGGCAAAUUUUAUUCAGCAAUCACAUAAUUACACCACACUUAUUUUUUAUAAGUGCUACCACAACCUGAAACAAAUAUACAAUUAUCUCACUGCAUUGACAGCUGGCUGGUUGCCUUGUUAAUUAUCUAUGGACUAACCAUAAUGUCAAGUUGAAGCAAGCAUGUUUUUUUAUUCCAGUCUAAUCAACUGCUUGAUUGGUUCUUUUAUCUUUAUGCGAUAAUAAUAUGCAUAAUUUUGGAUAUUCCAAGCAAACAUUUAACCUGUUGAUACAAUUGCAACAGGUUCAGAACACAUUGCCAUCUCAAUAAUUUGGUUUAUUUGUAUCUGUAAACUAAAAUUAUUCUGGAUUACUAAGUGGCUCUUUGUUCUUCUAGUUUGUUUUCAAAAACCACUGACUGAUGUGCCAGCAUUAUUAUAAAACUCCUUUUCUACAAACCAUUUUCUUAAGAAUAUCUGAACAACUCUGUUUAUGUUGUUCACUCUUCAUUAUGUGUGGUAAUGUAAUAAUGGUUUAUUGUGCAUUAACUGUUGUAUCCAGGAAAAAUAUGACCACUUUUGUUGUCAUCUAUUAUUAUUUCACAUUUUGUCUCUCUAUUAUCAAUUCUGUGAUCUAGGUACUCAAUUUUCUUUCUCACAAUCAUGAAUUUUAAUCCUUUUAAUGGAUUUGAGGUGGAAGGAAAGUACAUAUGGAUAUGAGAGUUAUUCACAGAUUUCUUACCUUGCAAGUUGUUUAGAAGGAGCUGUUUUAGAUGUUUCUGCAAAGAUAUCCAGUGUCUCUAUAUUGGCCAUUUUAAUGGUUUAUUCAUAUCAAUGAACAUUUCUUCCAUAAUUAUCCCUGUAGAUAUGAUUUCCUUCACUUCCUCCAAAGCAACCGUUCUCCUACA